RNAcentral lists this ribosomal RNA (584 nucleotides) under Blenniella paula (blue-dashed rockskipper). RNAcentral's name for it is "partial 16S ribosomal RNA". It matches the Rfam family "Bacterial large subunit ribosomal RNA", at positions 1815 to 2604 of the family's 2925-position model. The record is from RNAcentral. Lineage: Eukaryota; Metazoa; Chordata; Actinopteri; Blenniiformes; Blenniidae.
AUUGCCUCUCGCCCCCACCUAAUAUGGGGAGGUCCCGCCUGCCCUGUGAUUAAAAUUUAACGGCCGCGGUAUUUUGACCCUGCAAAGGUAGCGCAAUCACUUGUCUUUUAAAUGGAGACCUGUAUGAACGGCACAACGAGGGCUUAACUGUCUCCCUAUCCCAGUCAAUGAAAUUGAUCCUCCCGUGCAGAAGCGGGAAUAUAAACAUAAGACGAGAAGACCCUGUGGAGCUUUAGACAAUAUGUAGAGCCUGUAAAGAUACCUUCAAAAGUAUAAAACAAAAGGUUAUUUCUACUUAAAUGUCUUCGGUUGGGGCGACCGCGGGGAAACAUAAAACCCCCAUGUGGAAUGUGGAAUUCUUCUUUAAGCUAAGAACGUCAGUUCCAAGCAACAGAAUGUCUGACCUAAACUGACCCGGCCUUUUGCCGAUCAACGAAACAAGUUACCCCAGGGAUAACAGCGCAAUCCUCUCCCAGAGCCCAUAUCGACGAGAGGGUUUACGACCUCGAUGUUGGAUCAGGACAUCCUAAUGGUGCAGCCGCUAUGAAGGGUUCGUUUGUUCAACGAUUAAAGUCCUACUUGAU